RNAcentral lists this ribosomal RNA (253 nucleotides) under uncultured bacterium. RNAcentral describes it as "partial 16S ribosomal RNA". It matches the Rfam family "Bacterial small subunit ribosomal RNA", at positions 524 to 776 of the family's 1533-position model. The record is from RNAcentral.
GACAGGGGAUGCAAGCGUUACUCGGAAUUACUGGGCGUAAAGCGUCUGCAGGUUUUUUACCACGUCUGGUGUAAAAGCACGGAGCUCAACUCCGUGUACGUGCCGGAAACGAGUAGAAUAGAGUCAUUCAGAGGCAACUGGAAUGUCGUGUGUAGGGGUAAAAUCCGUAGAUCCACGAUGGAACGCCAAAAGCGAAGGCAGGUUGCUGGGAAUGUACUGACACUCAGAGACGAAAGCGUGGGGAGCAAAGGGG